Molecule: ribosomal RNA, 436 nt
Filed under: uncultured bacterium
Lineage: Bacteria
Description: bacterial SSU rRNA
Rfam family: Bacterial small subunit ribosomal RNA
Source: RNAcentral
ACUCCUACGGGAGGCAGCAGUGGGGAAUAUUGCACAAUGGGCGCAAGCCUGAUGCAGCCAUGCCGCGUGUGUGAAGAAGGCCUUCGGGUUGUAAAGCACUUUCAGUUGUGAGGAAGGUGGUGUCGUUAAUAGCGGCAUCAUUUGACGUUAGCAACAGAAGAAGCACCGGCUAACUCCGUGCCAGCAGCCGCGGUAAUACGGAGGGGUGCGAGCGUUAAUCGGAAUUACUGGGGCGUAAAGCGCAUGCAGGUGGUUUGUUAAGUCAGAUGUGAAAGCCCGGGGCUCAACCUCGGAACUGCAUUUGAAACUGGCAGACUAGAGUACUGUAGAGGGGGUAGAAUUUCAGGUGUAGCGGUGAAAUGCGUAGAGAUCUGAAGGAAUACCGGUGGCGAAGGCGGCCCCCUGGACAGAUACUGACACUCAGAUGCGAAAGCGU